GGAGCUUGCUUUAUAUAACUUAGCAGCGAACGGGUGAGUAACGCGUAGAUAAUCUAUCCUAUACUGGGGGAUAGCCCGAUGAAAGUUGGAUUAAUACCGCAUAUAGCUAUAUAGUUGCAUGAUUAUGUAGUGAAAGAUUUAUUGGUAUAGGAGGAGUCUGCGGCACAUUAGCUAGUAGGUGAGGUAAAGGCUUACCUAGGCGACGAUGUGUAGCCGGUCUGAGAGGAUGAACGGCCACAAUGGAACUGAGACACGGUCCAUACUCCUACGGGAGGCAGCAGUGGGGAAUAUUGCACAAUGGGGGAAACCCUGAUGCAGCAACGCCGCGUGAGUGAAGAAGGUUUUCGGAUUGUAAAGCUCUGUUAGCAGGGAAGAGGAAGGACGGUACCUGCAGAGGAAGCCACGGCUAACUACGUGCCAGCAGCCGCGGUAAUACGUAGGUGGCAAGCGUUGUUCGGAAUAACUGGGCGUAAAGGAUGCGUAGGCGGUUAAACAAGUUAUAUGUUAAAUAUAUAGGCUUAACCUGUAGAAAGCAUAUAAAACUGUUUAACUAGAGUGCAGGAGAGGUAAGUGGAAUUCCUAGUGUAGCGGUGAAAUGCGUAGAGAUUAGGAAGAACACCAGUGGCGAAGGCGACUUACUGGACUGUAACUGACGCUGAGGCAUGAGAGCAUGGGGAGCAAACAGGAUUAGAUACCCUGGUAGUCCAUGCUGUAAACGAUGGGUACUAGGUGUGGGUUGUGAAUAACAAUUCGUGCCGUCGCAAACGC
RNAcentral lists this ribosomal RNA (768 nucleotides) under uncultured bacterium. RNAcentral's name for it is "bacterial SSU rRNA". It matches the Rfam family "Bacterial small subunit ribosomal RNA", at positions 75 to 858 of the family's 1533-position model. The record is from RNAcentral.